Musa acuminata subsp. malaccensis (wild Malaysian banana) is the source of this 648-nucleotide non-coding RNA. NCBI's taxonomy places the organism in Eukaryota, Viridiplantae, Streptophyta, Magnoliopsida, Zingiberales, Musaceae. The record is from RefSeq and is a predicted model, not a curated record.
UCCUCCUCUUCUGCCUCACUGCCGACGUUGACGGUGGAGGAGGGAAGAAGGACGAACCCCGGGGCAAGAUAUCGAGUGGUCCGGCCGCCAGGUUGCCCCCACAAAGCGACGUGGUGGUACGGGCAACGGCGACCGUCGGCAAAGACGAGAUCUUGUGGAUGCUGGAGGAAGGCUACUUGGAGAGCGAGGCGUUUGUGGACGGGUGGUGCGACAGGAUGAUGGAGACGUACCUGCGUCUGAAGCAGGUGAAGGAGCCCGGGGCCAUGGAGCGUGCCUCAAGGACAAGGAGAAGACAGAGACGUACCGGUUCCACAAGGACAACCCGGAGGUACACACAUUCCUGGAUCAUGCGGCAGAGGGUGGACGCUAUCCUGUGGCUGAUAAAGGAGGAGGAUCGGAAGUGUCUGUCGAGAUGUUGCUCACCGAUUCCCCCUGUGUUCUGGACAUGAAUGUUAUUACCGGAGCCACAAGUUCUUCAUUGUUUUUAGCCGACUUCGAAGGUAUGGAUGGACGACAACAAAGAGUUGGAGAAUUUGUAUGCAAGGAUCUCCAGGAUUAGUAAUGGUCAUUGCGAACUUUAGAAAUCGAAGAACGAAGGGAAUGACUGGCUGACUCAUGGACUUGCUUUUCUGAAAUGAAGAAUCGACA